UACGAAGGGGGCUAGCGUUGCUCGGAAUUACUGGGCGUAAAGGGAGCGUAGGCGGAUAGUUUAGUCAGAGGUGAAAGCCCAGGGCUCAACCUUGGAAUUGCCUUUGAUACUGGCUAUCUUGAGUACGGAAGAGGUAUGUGGAACUCCGAGUGUAGAGGUGAAAUUCGUAGAUAUUCGGAAGAACACCAGUGGCGAAGGCGACAUACUGGUCCGUUACUGACGCUGAGGCUCGAAAGCGUGGGGAGC
Molecule: ribosomal RNA, 246 nt
Filed under: uncultured bacterium
Lineage: Bacteria
Description: partial 16S ribosomal RNA
Rfam family: Bacterial small subunit ribosomal RNA
Source: RNAcentral